Molecule: ribosomal RNA, 1504 nt
Filed under: uncultured bacterium
Lineage: Bacteria
Also listed under: 1 other name
Description: bacterial SSU rRNA
Rfam family: Bacterial small subunit ribosomal RNA
Source: RNAcentral
AAAGUAGGAGUUUGAUCCUGGCUCAGAGUGAACGUUGGUGGUACACAUAACACAUGCAAGUCGAACGAAAUAUGUAAAAGUAUUUAGUGGCGUACGGGUGAGUAAUAAAUAGGUGACUUACUCCAUGAACAAUGAUAAUUGAAAUAACUUUCUUGUAAACAUUGAUAAUCUAACAUAUCAUAAGUAUUUGUUAGCAAAGUAAUUAGAUUAGUCAUGGAAUAGGCUUAUUCUAGAUUAGAUAGUUGGUUGGGUAAUGGCUUACCAAGUCUAUGAUCUAUAGCUAUCCUUAAAGGGUGAUCAGCCACACUAGAAUUGAAAUAAGGUCUAGUUUCCUACGGGAAGCAGCAGUGAGGAAUAUUGGGCAAUGAGGGAAACCUUGACCCAGUGAUACCACGUGAGUGAUGAAGGCAUUAACUUGUUGUAAAACUCUUUUAUAGUUUAAGAAGUUGACUAAACUAUGAAUAAGUGCCGGCAAAUUUUGUGCCAGCAACCGCGGUGAGACAAAAGGCACGAACGUUACUCGGUUUUAAUGGGUUUAAAGGGUGUGUAGGUUUUUUUAUAAGUCAAAUUUAUGGAUACGGCAUAACUGUGGAUAUGGGUUUGAUACUGUAUUAAUUGAGAUUGAUGGAAGUUAAUGGAAUUUCUAGUGUAAAGGUGAAAUUUGUAGAUACUAGAAGGAACACCAGGGGCGAAGGCGAUUAACUAUUUUAAUCUGACACUGAGACACGAAAGCGUGGGGAGUAAAAAGGAUUAGAGACCCUUGUAAUCCACGCUGUAAAAGAUGAGUAUUUGAUAUUGUUAAACUUAGUGUUUAGCUAAUGUCUAAGCAAAAGCAAUAAAUACUCCACCUGAGUAGUACGAUCGCAAGAUUGAAACUCAAAGGAAUUGACGGGAACUCGCACAAGUGGUGGAACAUGUGAUUUAAUACGAUGGCCCUCGAAUAAUCUUACCAACCCUUGACAUUUUUUUGAUAGUGUAAGCAAUUACAUCUUCUAUGAAUAAUAGACAAUUAAACAGGUGUUGCAUGGCCGUUUUCAGUUCGUGUCGUGAGACGUAUGAUUCAGUUCUUUAACGAACGCAACCCCUAAUCCUUGUUGCUAAUCUAUUUUUAGAUGCACUCUAGGAUUGUACGUAUUUAUGUUUAGCAUGAAUAUGAUAAUUGGGAUAACAACAGGUCUUCAUGGCCCUUAUGGGUUGGGCUAUACACGUGUUACAAUGGUAGAUACAAUAAGAAACGAUAAGGCGACUUUGAGUAAAACUAUAAAAUCUAUCCCAGUCCAGAUUGCUUUCUGUAACUCGAAAGCAUGAAGAAGGAAUCACUAGUAAUCGCGAAUCAUCAAUGUCGCGGUGAAUACGUUAUUGAGUUCUGUACACACUGCCCAUCAGGCUAUGGGAGGUGCUUUUAUUUGAUGAUAAUUAUCGAUUAUUUAAAAUGAAUGCAGCGACACUAGUCAAGUUGUAACAAGGUAAGUGUAGGUGAACCUGCGCUUUUGACAUUAUAAAU